AAGUCGUAACAAGGUUUCCGUAGGUGAACCUGCGGAAGGAUCAUUAUCGUAGUGAUUGUAGUGGGACUUGGGGACUUGGCAUUGGGCCUUUGGGUCCCAUUUGUCCCCAUUUUGGCCCUUUUGGGCCAUUGGUCGCAUUGCGUCCCCGCAUCGGCCCCCAAAGUCCCAAUUUUUCCCCUUUUAACCCAAAACCCACCUUGGUUGGCCAACCCUUUCCCUUUGUGAGAAUGGGGAGAGAAAGGGCUUGCCUCUUUUAUCUCGUCUCAUGAUUCAUAAACGCUGUUUGUAAUGUUGAAUGCAUUUAUGCCGUCAAGGCUUUAACCUAAUACAA
Molecule: unclassified non-coding RNA, 331 nt
Filed under: plant metagenome
Description: partial contains small subunit ribosomal RNA and internal transcribed spacer 1
Rfam family: Eukaryotic small subunit ribosomal RNA (bases 1-46)
Source: RNAcentral